RNAcentral lists this ribosomal RNA (316 nucleotides) under Salmonella enterica subsp. enterica serovar Oranienburg. RNAcentral's name for it is "partial 23S ribosomal RNA". It matches the Rfam family "Bacterial large subunit ribosomal RNA", at positions 505 to 722 of the family's 2925-position model. The record is from RNAcentral. Lineage: Bacteria; Pseudomonadati; Pseudomonadota; Gammaproteobacteria; Enterobacterales; Enterobacteriaceae.
GAGGGAAAGGCGAAAAGAACCCCGGCGAGGGGAGUGAAAAAGAACCUGAAACCGUGUACGUACAAGCAGUGGGAGCCCCACCACUAAGCCAGUGGUGAACUCCACAUACGCAUCCUUUGCUGAGGAUACGGUUAACGGAGCGAAAGCGACGUUCAACCGCAAAAGAAGCAGAGGGGGCUUAGUGGUGGGGUGACUGCGUACCUUUUGUAUAAUGGGUCAGCGACUUAUAUUCUGUAGCAAGGUUAACCGAAUAGGGGAGCCGGAGGGAAACCGAGUCUUAAUUGGGCGUUAAGUUGCAGGGUAUAGACCCGAAACC